RNAcentral lists this ribosomal RNA (490 nucleotides) under uncultured bacterium. RNAcentral's name for it is "bacterial SSU rRNA". It matches the Rfam family "Bacterial small subunit ribosomal RNA", at positions 8 to 518 of the family's 1533-position model. The record is from RNAcentral.
AGGGUUCGAUUCUGGCUCAGGAUUAACGCUGGCGGCAUGCCUAAUACAUGCAAGUCGAAUGGUUAGCUUGCUAACCAUGGCGAACGGGUGAGUAACACGUAGGUAACCUGUCUUCAAGACGAGGAUAACCAUUGGAAACGAUGGAUAAUACUGGAUAGGACAAAUCCCCGCAUGAGGAGAUGUUUAAAGGAGCAAUCCACUUGAUGAGGGGCCUGCGGUGCAUUAGCUAGUUGGUGAGGUAAAGGCCCACCAAGGCGAUGAUGCAUAGCCGGACUGAGAGGUUGAACGGCCACAAUGGAACUGAGAACGGUCCAUACUCCUACGGGAGGCAGCAGUAGGGAAUUUUCGGCAAUGGGCGGAAGCCUCGACCGAGCAAUGCCGCGUGAACGAUGAAGUAUUUCGGUAUGUAAAGUUCUUUUAUUUGGGAAAGAAAAAACAAAUUGACGGUACCAAAUGAAUAAGCUCCGGCUAGCUACGUGCCAGCCGCCGC